UUUUUUUUUUUUUUUUUUUUUUUUUUUUUCCUUC
This 34-nucleotide non-coding RNA is filed under the name Prorocentrum micans. The record is from RNAcentral. Lineage: Eukaryota; Dinophyceae; Prorocentrales; Prorocentraceae.